RNAcentral lists this ribosomal RNA (559 nucleotides) under uncultured Glomus. RNAcentral's name for it is "SSU rRNA". It matches the Rfam family "Eukaryotic small subunit ribosomal RNA", at positions 546 to 1106 of the family's 1831-position model. The record is from RNAcentral. Lineage: Eukaryota; Fungi; Glomeromycota; Glomeromycetes; Glomerales; Glomeraceae.
AAUUGGAGGGCAAGUCUGGUGCCAGCAGCCGCGGUAAUUCCAGCUCCAAUAGCGUAUAUUAAAGUUGUUGCAGUUAAAAAGCUCGUAGUUGAAUUUCGGGGUUAGUAGGCUGGUCAUGCCACCGGUAUGUACUGGUCUUACUGAUUCCUCCUUCCUGAUGAACUGUAAUGCCAUUAAUUUGGUGUUGCAGGGAAUCUGGACUGUUACUUUGAAAAAAUUAGAGUGUUUAAAGCAGGCUAACGCUUGAAUACAUUAGCAUGGAAUAAUGAAAUAGGACGUUCGAUCCUAUUUUGUUGGUUUCUAGGAUUGACGUAAUGAUUAAUAGGGAUAGUUGGGGGCAUUAGUAUUCAAUUGUCAGAGGUGAAAUUCUUGGAUUUAUUGAAGACUAACUACUGCGAAAGCAUUUGCCAAGGAUGUUUUCAUUAAUCAAGAACGAAAGUUAGGGGAUCGAAGACGAUCAGAUACCGUCGUAGUCUUAACCAUAAACUAUGCCGACUAGGGAUCGGAUGAUGUUAAUUUUUUAAUGACUCAUUCGGCGCCUUACGGGAAACCAAAGUGU